This 72-nucleotide transfer RNA is filed under the name Trichonephila inaurata madagascariensis. It matches the Rfam family "tRNA". Rfam says of the family: Transfer RNA (tRNA) molecules are approximately 80 nucleotides in length. Their secondary structure includes four short double-helical elements and three loops (D, anti-codon, and T loops). The record is from Rfam by way of RNAcentral. Lineage: Eukaryota; Metazoa; Arthropoda; Arachnida; Araneae; Nephilidae.
GGCCCGUUAGCUCAGUUGGUUAGAGCAUCGUGCUAAUAACGCGAAGGUCGCGGGUUCGAUCCCCCACGGCCA